AUGCCAUCAGCCCAUAACCUAUCUCAUGGCAGUAUGACUGUCCAUUAUCCAGUAGUUGCAGCGCACAUUUCACUGAUGCUGCUGGAAUCACUCAUGUGCCGCACAUCGGUUGGAUUCGGUUGGGAUGCACUCCGGGAGAAUCCUGUGCUCCUUGAACAGGCAAUAUUGCAUAUAAAUUCUAGUGAUGCCAUCUUGAUGAUCAAAAGGGAGUGGUACCUGAGAGAGGCUCUGCAAUCUGAAGCUGUGGCUGUGGCUUGCCUUGCUGCUGUUGAUGGGGCGGGCUAUCAGGUUGGGAGUGGACCAAAUCACAAAAGUAAUCUUUCAUUCUGA
Molecule: ribosomal RNA, 330 nt
Filed under: Triticum aestivum (bread wheat)
Lineage: Eukaryota; Viridiplantae; Streptophyta; Magnoliopsida; Poales; Poaceae
Description: partial small subunit ribosomal RNA
Source: RNAcentral